CAGAAACAGAAACAGACUGGAGUCAGCGGCGGCUGGAGAAGAGAGCGACAGGAAAUACCUGCUUUAGGGGGAAGCCACCUGACCAAGAGGAAAGGGAGAUGAAGUUCUGGCUCCUUUCCUUCUACCCAACCAAUGAUGCUCCUUUCAGUGGAUCCUGCCCAUUCUGCGACAGUAUGCCAUCACCUCGGGCUGUAUGGACAGCAGGGGACAGAACACUGACUCCAAAGCUUGUGGAGCAGGGAACAUUGCCUUCCACGGGAAACGCUCCUCUGACCACUGAGACCAGUUGGCAUCAGCACGGUAUGCAGAGAAUACAUUGUGGGUGGACAUGGGCCUGGAGGGGUUGGGAAGACAAGACAAAGAUGGCUCAUAUGGGAGAAGAGCCAUAGCACUGGGACCCAGACCUCAGCUUCUCCCAUUCCUGGCUAAGACUUUGGACUAGAAUGGAGUCAACCUUUCUGUCAACUCAAGCUGACAAGAGAAUCCCCACCCCCGGUGCAGCCAUGAGGACUCUGCAAGGACUUGUGUGCAUAGCAUAUAUAUUGUGUCUGGUAUUGGCAAAGUCUCUGAAGUGAUGGCAAAAAGUCAGGAAGAAUGGGGCUAGAGAGAUAGCUCAGCCAUUAAGAGCACGUGUUGCUCCUACAGAGGACCGCUGUUCUGUUCCCAGCCUCUACAUGGUGGCCCACAACCAGCCAUAGCUUCAUUUACAUGGAAUCUGAUGCCUUCUUCUUGCCUCCACAGGCACCAGGCAUACACAUACACACAUAUUCAGGCAAAACACCCAGAAAACAAAGUAAAACAAAUGGAUCUCAAUCACCACGAGCCAGGAAAAGGGAAGUAGGCCAGCUCGUCCUUUAGUCUUUCUCGAAGGUUUAGGACCUUUGGGUUCCAUUAGGAAAUUGGGUUUCUUUAGUCACUUGGCUCAUGUAACAAUGAUCAGGGCUUCUGAGACUGUUUGGUUUUCUGUGUUUUUCUUAAAAUAUGUUCAACUCUCUCUUCAAUCAGACUUGAAAGCAAACUCAGUGUAGCGCGGAAGCAGGGAGGGCAGAAGAGGGCUUUAGCGCAACACAGACCUGGGGUCAGGCUCAGCCCCCAGCUCCACCUGGUUGCUAUGUGAUCCUGCUGGGCAGAAUCCUUUGAAGUGCUGCUUUCUCAGGGAUAAAAACAAGGCUAGCAGCAUCCAUCCGUGGCUUUGAGAGGAUAAAGGAGAAAUAUAAGUGAAGUACCAGGAGUACCUCAAUGUUCCUCCUCCUCUGGAUGGAUCAAAAGAAAGGUGAGCCUAGAGACACAGAGAGGCCAUAGGUAAUGUGGGAUUACUGGGUCCAAUUCAAUUUAGCAUGGAUUGAAUUUGAACUCAAAACUUUAGAAAAUAUUUCCCAGGGGCACAUAUUCAGAACAUGUGUGCCCCCUCUUGUCCACAUGCUUUGCAACAUUUCAAUGCUUUACUCAGUUGGUAGAGUGAUUAUGGCAAAGCCACCAAGAGUAUAUGAUGACCAUUCCUCUGAGGCACCUGGAGGCCAUUGAAUGUGAGGGUCUUCUGAAGCUGGUCCAGCCCCGGAGUCCUGGCUGCUGGUUUGCAUCCAUUGGACCUGCUGUAGCUCAAGCUGUAGCAAGAAAUGACUUGCCUACAACACAAAGUUUAACUAUUGACCAUCAUAAACCUGACCAGCAAGAAAGAGAAGACCUUAAACAGAGUCAUCGAAGCCCGGCCCUAGAGCCAGACUAGACCUGAGACUUCUCUGUGGAUUUGAGGACUGGGAUCUUGACUUUGGCAAUCAAAAAAAGCUGUAAGAAAAACGCUGCCUCUGAAUGUGAGCAGCCCUAGAAACAUUCAGGCUUUUGUUCAGACACACAGAGCCCAGACUCUCGAAAUCCUGGAACUGAAGGA
This is a non-coding RNA of Myodes glareolus (Bank vole), 1888 nucleotides long. NCBI's taxonomy places the organism in Eukaryota, Metazoa, Chordata, Mammalia, Rodentia, Cricetidae. The record is from RefSeq and is a predicted model, not a curated record.